GAUGAAGAACGCAGCGAAAUGCGAUAACUAAUGUGAAUUGCAGAAUUCAGUGAAUCAUCGAGUCUUUGAACGCACAUUGCGCCCCCUGGUAUUCCGGGGGGCAUGCCUGUCCGAGCGUCAUUGCUGCCCUCAAGCACGGCUUGUGUGUUGGGCUCCGUCCCCCCGGGGACGGGCCCGAAAGGCAGCGGCGGCACCGAGUCCGGUCCUCGAGCGUAUGGGGCCUUGUCACCCGCUCUGUAGGCCCGGCCGGCGCCAGCCGACAACCCAUCAUCCUUUUCAGGUUGACCUCGGAUCAGGUAGGGAUACCCGCUGAACUUAAGCAUAUCAAUAAGCGGAGGA
This 339-nucleotide unclassified non-coding RNA is filed under the name soil metagenome. Its description in RNAcentral is "partial contains 5.8S ribosomal RNA, internal transcribed spacer 2, and large subunit ribosomal RNA". The stretch from base 1 to 120 matches the Rfam family "5.8S ribosomal RNA", at positions 35 to 154 of the family's 154-position model. The record is from RNAcentral.